GAUGAACGCUGGCGGCGUGCCUAAUACAUGCAAGUCGAGCGAACAGAUAAGGAUCUUGCUCCUUUUACGUUAGCGGCGGACGGGUGAGUAACACGUGGAUAACCUACCUAUAAGACUGGGAUAACUUCGGGAAACCUGAGCUAAUACCGGUUAACAUAUUGAACCGCAUGGUUCAUUAGUGAAAGGCGGCUUUGCUGUCACUUAUUGAUGUAUCCGCGCCGGAUUAGCUAGUUGGUAAGGUAACGGCUUACCAAGGCAACGAUACGUAACCGACCUGAGAGGGUGAUCGGCCACACUGGAACUGAGACACGGUCCAGACUCCUACGGGAGGCAGCAGUAGGGAAUAUUCCACAAUGGGCGAAAGCCUGACGGAGCAACGCCGCGUGAGUGAUGAAGGUCUUCGGAUCGUAAAACACUGUUAUCAGGGAAGAACAAAUGUGUAAGUAACUGUGCACAUCUUGACGGUACCAGAUCAGAAAGCCACGGCUAACUACGUG
Molecule: ribosomal RNA, 497 nt
Filed under: uncultured bacterium
Lineage: Bacteria
Description: partial 16S ribosomal RNA
Rfam family: Bacterial small subunit ribosomal RNA
Source: RNAcentral